RNAcentral lists this ribosomal RNA (468 nucleotides) under uncultured bacterium. RNAcentral's name for it is "partial 16S ribosomal RNA". It matches the Rfam family "Bacterial small subunit ribosomal RNA", at positions 28 to 507 of the family's 1533-position model. The record is from RNAcentral.
GACGAACGCUGGCGGCGUGCUUAACACAUGCAAGUCGAACGGAAAGGCCCUGCUUUUGUGGGGUGCUCGAGUGGCGAACGGGUGAGUAACACGUGAGUAACCUGCCCGUGACUUUGGGAUAACUUCAGGAAACUGGGGCUAAUACCGGAUAGGAGCUCCUGCUGCAUGGUGGGGGGUGGAAAGUUUCGGCGGUUGGGGAUGGACUCGCGGCUUAUCAGCUUGUUGGUGGGGUAGUGGCUUACCAAGGCUUUGACGGGUAGCCGGCCUGAGAGGGUGACCGGCCACAUUGGGACUGAGAUACGGCCCAGACUCCUACGGGAGGCAGCAGUGGGGAAUAUUGCACAAUGGGCGGAAGCCUGAUGCAGCAACGCCGCGUGCGGGAUGACGGCCUUCGGGUUGUAAACCGCUUUCGCCUGUGACGAAGCGUGAGUGACGGUAAUGGGUAAAGAAGCACCGGCUAACUACGUG